RNAcentral lists this unclassified non-coding RNA (388 nucleotides) under uncultured fungus. RNAcentral's name for it is "partial contains small subunit ribosomal RNA, internal transcribed spacer 1, and 5.8S ribosomal RNA". The stretch from base 1 to 129 matches the Rfam family "Eukaryotic small subunit ribosomal RNA", at positions 1759 to 1831 of the family's 1831-position model. The record is from RNAcentral. Lineage: Eukaryota; Fungi.
GCAAACUUGGUCAUUUAGAGGAAGUAAAAGUCGUAACAAGGUUUCCGUAGGUGGUAAGUAGUGAUCCCCCGUCGCAGUAUCUCCACCGGGGGCUAACGUGAGUUCGCAGAACCUGCGGAAGGAUCAUUAUAGAGAAAAUAUGGAGCCCGGGUAACCGGAACUCCAGGGGGGCCCGUGGCGACACGGCACCCGAUUCUCAACCCUAUGCGUGUUGUACCUAUCGUUGCUUUGGCGGGCCCGAGGCGCUGCGUCUCGCGUUGGCUUCGGGCGAUGUGCGCCCGUCAAACGCCCAUGAAAUUCGAUUUUUGGGUGACGUCCGAGUGAGAAUUUAACAAACAAAACUUUCAACAACGGAUCUCUUGGUUCUGGCAUCGAUGAAGAACGCAGC